UACAAAUCCUUUCCAUGUUGUUCCUGGUUUCUUCCAAUCCUGUGUUUACACCCACCUCUUUAAACUGGAUUUAGCUAGAUCAAAGGAGAUCUGGGUUCUUAUGGAUUGCAAAGGUUUAAUUAGCAAGUGUGUGCUGUUUGCAGCCAGGAAAAUGCAAGCUGCCACUUCAGGAAGCUCUGUGCCUCCUGAGUCCUGUGUGUCCUCUGGGAAGGUGCUAGCUCCUCUGGCACCCCUCUUAGAAGUGGCAUAUAGCUCAAGGGAGCCUGAAGGUGGAGAAUGUGACUUCUCCAAGCAUGGUUUGCAUGGAAAACAAUGCUUCCCUUUCUCCAGCAUAGGAAAUGAAAGCUGAGUUAAGGAAAGCAUCUAGUGGUGCCCUUUGGUUUGAGAGAGCUGUGUCUCACACAUAGUUAUUUAUAGCCAAGUGGAGAGUGACUGGAUCCUAAAUACAUGUUUCCGUCCCUCAGACCCUGUGUUGGUCUGUUUGCUUAAUAAUGUAAUUAGUGCUCAGAGGGAGAAUAUUGAUGCUGCUGCCAGCAGUCAUUGCUCUUCCAUGCGUUUCCAAAUGGUGCCUGCGGCCCACUUGGCUGUGCAUUACCUGGCUUGGUAGCUCCACCAUGCGUCACCCACGCUGACUCCUCAGAGACCCCUCCUGCUAAACACCCGACUCCACAUCCCCCCACAUGCUGUUGAGUUCCACAUGUGUAAGGCUCACAUCUUACACAGUAGGUGGAAUGGUCUUUGAUGAAGGCUGCAAUGAAAGACCACUAAUUUCCCUCUGAUCUUUCAGUAUGGAAAGGUUAGAACUGCUUGCUGUGCAUUUCCUAGCAAUGUCCCUUUUCUGGUGUUAACCUGUCUCCAACUGGAGCCCUGACUCCCUCACACCCCAGUCUUCCCAGAUGAUCUUGCUGGAUGCUGAAGACACCACCAGCUCCAUACCUGUGUGCUGGAAAUGGGACUCAGUUCUGCUGUGUUCUCCUCACCCCCAGUGGAGAUGAAGGAAGUCAUGGUCACUGAAUGCUUUUCUCCAGCGCCACACUGCGGCGUAGCCAGAGUGGACCUCCACAGGACCAUUCCUGUCUGUGGUACCAUGCCCCCUUUAUGAGUUUGAGGUAAUCUGAGGAUGCAUUUUCUCGUGUUUAUCUGACAACCUACCCGCCCCCCCCCACAUACACACACCUCUCUCCAAGAGAAGCCCAGAGGGGUGAUUAUGGUUUAAAAAGCCAGGUCAUAAAUCGGGCUUUUUCUGCUCACUUGCUUUGUAGCAGAGGGAAUCCACAGAGGGCAAUUCAAAAGGAAAGGAAACAGGGUGAGAAAAAAGCAGAAGGGGGUGGAAAACCAAUGGUUUAGCUUUAGUGUCAGAAUGAUGGAAACUUUUUCCACAUUUGAUUAAUUAUUAAGAGAUCUGUUUAAUAAAAUAUAGAGAGAACAUUUAUUUUGUCUCUCCAUCCACAAUCGUUAGCAUGACCUGGGACCCCUAUUUUGGAGGUGAACAAAAAGCUAUUGAGGUAUAACAAUAAAUUUUGUCCCCAAGGGUGUUUGCAGAAGUGGCCACAGGGCCAUCCUGACAGAUUUAAGGCAGAAAUCCCAUGGCUGACACUGAAGUGUGUCAAAUCCAGUGGCUUCCCUUGGCAGGUCACAGUCACCAGCCUCCCUCAGACAUGUGAAUAAAGCAGAAUCUCUCACCUAGAAAACACUGUGUGCUGGUAGGGGUUUUCCUUUUUCUUUAGAAAAUUAUUUCCCUAAAAUACAGGUUCAAUGAUUUAGUAUUCUUGGAGGCUUUCUUACCUCACAUGCAGAAAGUCAUUAAGGAAAUCCACUCAUACUUUUUCAAUAAAUUGUUUUUUAAAAACUCAAAAUCUCUCUGCCCAUGAUUCUCUUUAUUUUAUUUGAAUUUAGAUAGAAAUGUUGGGGUCUUAUGAGGAAAUAUCCUAUUUGAAACAAAUGGGCUUCCUCCCCUCCCAUCCACCAGAAAAAAAAAUGUUAGUUUUAUAUGUAGGAUUACUGUGUUGAAUCUCUCAUUCAGUUGCAUGAAUUUAUAAUGAUUUAAAGUAGCCUCAUAUAGAUUUAUAAAUGAACAUAUUAAUUACAAAGCACUUGAGUAACCAUUUCAGAGUUUGGGUUUAUAAUGCAGUUUUCUGGUUGUUUCCCACCAUUUCUUUUUUCUUUUUUUUUUUUUUUUAGUUACCAGGGAUUGAACUUGGGACCUUGCCCUUGUGAGAUUUAAGAGGGGCUGUCUUCAUCUGUUUUCAGAAGAUGAGAAAACUACUCCUUAGAAAAGUCAGCACCCUGCUCAGAGUCAGACAGCUGGCGAGGGGCAGCUGGCCCACUUCACACUUUGCUUGUCUCCCAAGCCAUUGGCCCAGAAGGACUAGUGGUGUUUUUAUCCCCAUUGACAGAUGAAGAGGCUGAGGUCCCAAGAGGACAAGUGGCCACCCAAGGUCACACAGCAGCAAACAUGGAGCUGGAAGGAGACACAGGUUAUUAGAGG
Heterocephalus glaber (naked mole-rat) is the source of this 2488-nucleotide long non-coding RNA. Lineage: Eukaryota; Metazoa; Chordata; Mammalia; Rodentia; Bathyergidae. The record is from Ensembl.